This 253-nucleotide ribosomal RNA is filed under the name uncultured bacterium. RNAcentral's name for it is "partial 16S ribosomal RNA". It matches the Rfam family "Bacterial small subunit ribosomal RNA", at positions 524 to 776 of the family's 1533-position model. The record is from RNAcentral.
UACGUAGGGGGCAAGCGUUGUCCGGAUUUAUUGGGCGUAAAGAGCGUGUAGGCGGCCAGACAGGUCCGUUGUGAAAACUCGAGGCUCAACCUCGAGACGCCGAUGGAAACCGUCUGGCUAGAGUCCGGAAGAGGCGAGUGGAAUUCCUGGUGUAGCGGUGGAAUGCGCAGAUAUCAGGAGGAACACCAAUAGCGAAGGCAGCUCGCUGGGACGGUACUGACGCUAAGGCGCGAAAGCGUGGGGAGCGAACAGG